Molecule: small RNA, 3304 nt
Filed under: Pan troglodytes (chimpanzee)
Lineage: Eukaryota; Metazoa; Chordata; Mammalia; Primates; Hominidae
Description: retained intron
Source: RNAcentral
AUUCAAGGCUCAGGGUGGUGGCUCAUUUUCAAGGGGCUGUGAAAAGAGAGGGUCACUCCUUUUUGAUCAUUUCCCUGCUGCCUGGCUUCAAAUGGCCCUCAGGCCGGUCACUUUAGGGAAAUUGGUGAUCGCUCUUGGUAUUCCACUUUUUUUUUUUUUUUGAGACGGAGUCUCGCUCUGUCACCAGGCUGGAGUGCAGUGGUGUGAUCUCUGCUCACUGCACCCUCCGCCUCCCGGGUUCAAGCAAUUCUUCUGCCUCAGCCUCCUGAGUAGCUGGGAUUAUAGGCGAAUGCCACCCCUGACUAAUUUUUGUAUUUUUAGUAGAGACGGGGUUUCACCCUGUUGGCCAGGCUGGUCUCGAACUCCUAACCUUGUGAUCCAUCCGCCUCAGCCUCCCAAAGUGCUGGGAUUAUAGGCAUGAGCCACCGCGCCUGGCGUGGAAUUUCACUCAGGUCCCUUCAGCUCUCUCUGGUUCUGACAGAUCUUGCCCAAAUUCCCAUGGUUACGUGGUCAUUUGCUUGCCUGUUGCUGGGGGUGGCUGGGAGGUGGCACUCAGCUGUUCGACUCUGAGGCCCAGGACUCCUGGCUCCUGGGACUCAUGUGUGUCCCUGCACAGGGAGGAAUGGAUGCGGGCCAUCCAGAUGGUCGCCAACAGCCUCAAGCAGCGGGCCCCAGGCGAGGACCCCAUGGACUACAAGUGUGGCUCCCCCAGUGACUCCUCUACGGCUGAGGAGAUGGAAGUGGCGGUCAGCAAAGCACGGGCUAAAGUGACCAUGAAUGACUUCGACUAUCUCAAACUCCUUGGCAAGGGAACCUUUGGCAAAGUCAUCCUGGUGCGGGAGAAGGCCACUGGCCGCUACUACGCCAUGAAGAUCCUGCGGAAGGAAGUCAUCAUUGCCAAGGAUGAAGUCGCUCACACAGUCACCGAGAGCCGAGUCCUCCAGAACACCAGGCACCCGUUCCUCACUGCGCUGAAGUACGCCUUCCAGACCCACGACCGCCUGUGCUUUGUGAUGGAGUAUGCCAACGGGGGUGAGCUGUUCUUCCACCUGUCCCGGGAGCGUGUCUUCACAGAGGAGCGGGCCCGGUUUUAUGGUGCAGAGAUUGUCUCGGCUCUUGAGUACUUGCACUCACGGGACGUGGUAUACCGCGACAUCAAGCUGGAAAACCUCAUGCUGGACAAAGAUGGCCACAUCAAGAUCACUGACUUUGGCCUCUGCAAAGAGGGCAUCAGUGACGGGGCCACCAUGAAAACCUUCUGUGGGACCCCGGAGUACCUGGCGCCUGAGGUGCUGGAGGACAAUGACUAUGGCCGGGCCGUGGACUGGUGGGGGCUGGGUGUGGUCAUGUACGAGAUGAUGUGCGGCCGCCUGCCCUUCUACAACCAGGACCACGAGCGCCUCUUCGAGCUCAUCCUCAUGGAAGAGAUCCGCUUCCCGCGCACGCUCAGCCCCGAGGCCAAGUCCCUGCUUGCUGGGCUGCUUAAGAAGGACCCCAAGCAGAGGCUUGGUGGGGGGCCCAGCGAUGCCAAGGAGGUCAUGGAGCACAGGUUCUUCCUCAGCAUCAACUGGCAGGACGUGGUCCAGAAGAAGCUCCUGCCACCCUUCAAACCUCAGGUCACGUCCGAGGUCGACACAAGGUACUUCGAUGAUGAAUUUACCGCCCAGUCCAUCACAAUCACACCCCCUGACCGCUAUGACAGCCUGGGCUUACUGGAGCUGGACCAGCGGACCCACUUCCCCCAGUUCUCCUACUCGGCCAGCAUCCGCGAGUGAGCAGUCUGUCCACGCAGAGGACGCACGCUCGCUGCCAUCACCGCUGGGUGGUUUUUUCCCCCUAACUUUUUACUUUGCCUUUUUGGUUUGUGUCCCCACCCCCACCUCCUCACCCCUUUUCCAGUUCUUCUUCAGGCCCCUCCCAGACGCACCCCAGCGGCCCCUGCAGCCCCUGCCUCCAGCCUCACCUUUGUGCCCAGACUCGCAUUUGGAAGACUCCACCUCCCGCCCAGGCCUGGGCUGUUGGGCGGUUGGAGAUUCAGGUUUUAAUCCACACAAGCCCCAGUGAGGGGUGAAGCAUGGCACCCGGGGCCUACCUGAGUUUCUGGCCUGGGUGUCGUGCUGGUGUCUGCCUCUGCGCUGCUGCAUCUGGACGAAGGCUGCCUUCUGGUGGGACGCGACACCCGGCAGACAGUGGUGCUGCCUUCCAGGCCCCGUGGCCUAGGUUCGGAGUGGCCAGGCACGGGGCGGUCCAAUCCCCCACCCGCUGUCCCCCUAUGGGGGCAGAAAAGCAAUAAUGUCCAGGGGCAGGCAGGGGCCCUUGGGAGCUGCAGGGCUGGGGGUUAGGGCUGCUCCCUGGUGAAUGGAGUCAGAUCCUAGGAUCUGUACCAUGGGGAACCAGGAGUGGCCGGGCUGGGUGCCGCCUCCUGGUCCGGCCUCCUCCCCACCAAACUGUCCUCACCCUAUGGAUGAGGCAGGAGGAACAUUUGGGGGCAAACCUGCCUGCCUCCCAGCCCCGUGCCUUACUAGGGCUUCCUUCCAGCUGGCCUUACCUCCCGCUGGACCCUGGGCCUGGCCUGGCCCCACUGGGGGGCUAUGGGCUGGGCUCACCCUCUCCUCUGCGGGGGUGGAGGGGCACCAGCCUUGGCUGUUACAAUCUUACACCGGACAGUAUUGGGCUCCAUGGACUUGGUCAGGGAGGGGUGGGGGUGGGCAUCUCUGGUACCUAUUGGGGUGGGGGGCCUCUGAGAAGGGAGGCUCCUAGGCCCCCCUCACCCCUCCCUCUUCCCAGGGCCCCACGUUCUGCAGCCUUAAGGUUGAACAUGAGUGCACGUCCAUGUCAGUGCUGUGGGACUCCUGUGCGUGCCUCGGACUGCGUGUGUCGGCGGGACGCAGGCACACGUGGGUGUGUGUGCAUGUGUGUUUGUGUGAGGGCAGCAUGUCCUCCAGUGUGCAUGGUGUGUGGGCUUGGGCCCCAUCCCUGGCCCGAGCAUUUCAUCCUGUGGGGGAGGGGUGCUGACCUAGUGGGAGGAGCCCCACCGUGAUCCAUGAGCUGCCCUGCCCACGCCUCCCCUCCCUGUAGCAACACCUCUGGGUGUUUGGAGUUUAGCUUUUGUGGGUUUGCUCUCCCUACCCCAUCUCCUGUACUACACAGUUCAUGGCAGGGUGGGGAGGGGUGGGGUUGGUUCGGGUGGGUGAGGGUCUUUUUCCUCUGUGUGCGAUGUCGUUAUCUGACAGUUCUCCGUCCCUACUGGCCUUUCUCCUCGUCUUCAUAUUUGUACGGUACAAGCAAUAAAGACACUCAUUUC